CAUGCCCCUUAUACGCUGGGCUACACACGUGCUACAAUGGGUAGUACAGAGAGUCGCAAAGCCGCGAGGUGGAGCUAAUCUCAGAAAACUAUUCUUAGUUCGGAUUGUACUCUGCAACUCGAGUACAUGAAGUUGGAAUCGCUAGUAAUCGCGAAUCAGCAAUGUCGCGGUGAAUACGUUCUCGGGUCUUGUACACACCGCCCGUCACACCACGAGAGUUGGUUGCACCUGAAGUAGCAGGCCUAACCGUAAGGAGGGAUGCUCCGAGGGUGUGAUUAGCGAUUGGGGUGAAGUCGUAACAAGGUAUCCGUACGGGAACGUGCGGAUGGAUCACCUCCUUUCUAAGGAGAAGAAGUCUUUCUCUAUUCUAUUGGUAAUGUUCUUUACAUUACUUCUGAACAUUGGAAACUAUAUAGUAGAACAAACAAGAAAAAGAUUAACUCUAACAAUUUCUUAGAGUUAGCUGUCAAAAAAUAGAUUAAAAUAAUUAAGGGCACACAAAGGAUGCCUAGGUAGUAAGAGCCGAUGAAGGACGUGGUAAGCUGCGAUAAGCCUAG
RNAcentral lists this small RNA (557 nucleotides) under uncultured Fusobacterium sp. RNAcentral describes it as "bacterial SSU rRNA". The stretch from base 1 to 341 matches the Rfam family "Bacterial small subunit ribosomal RNA", at positions 1194 to 1533 of the family's 1533-position model. Lineage: Bacteria; Fusobacteriati; Fusobacteriota; Fusobacteriia; Fusobacteriales; Fusobacteriaceae. The record is from RNAcentral.